GUCGACGAUUCACGUGUAGCAGUGAAAUGCGUAGAGAUCGGGAGGAAUACCAGUGGCGAAGGCGGCCUUCUGGACUGACACUGACACUGAGGUGCGAAAGCGUGGGUAGCAAACAGGAUUAGAUACCCUGGUAGUCCACGCCGUAAACGAUGUCGACCAGCCGUUGGGUGCCUAGCGCACUUUGUGGCGAAGUUAACGCGAUAAGUCGACCGCCUGGGGAGUACGGCCGCAAGGUUAAAACUCAAAUGAAUUGACGGGGGCCCGCACAAGCGGUGGAGCAUGUGGUUUAAUUCGAUGCAACGCGAAGAACCUUACCUACUCUUGACAUCCUGCGAACUUGUGAGAGAUCACUUGGUGCCUUCGGGAGCGCAGAGACAGGUGCUGCAUGGCUGUCGUCAGCU
RNAcentral lists this ribosomal RNA (401 nucleotides) under uncultured Pseudomonadota bacterium. Its description in RNAcentral is "bacterial SSU rRNA". It matches the Rfam family "Bacterial small subunit ribosomal RNA", at positions 661 to 1060 of the family's 1533-position model. Lineage: Bacteria; Pseudomonadati; Pseudomonadota. The record is from RNAcentral.